Molecule: ribosomal RNA, 253 nt
Filed under: uncultured bacterium
Lineage: Bacteria
Description: partial 16S ribosomal RNA
Rfam family: Bacterial small subunit ribosomal RNA
Source: RNAcentral
UACGGAGGGAGCUAGCGUUGUUCGGAAUUACUGGGCGUAAAGCGUGCGCAGGCGGUUUUGGAAGUCUGUCGUGAAAUCCCCGGGCUCAACCUGGGAAUUGCGAUGGAGACUGCAAGGCUGGAGUCUGGCAGAGGGGGGUAGAAUUCCACGUGUAGCAGUGAAAUGCGUAGAGAUGUGGAGGAACACCGAUGGCGAAGGCAGCCCCCUGGGUCAAGACUGACGCUCAUGCACGAAAGCGUGGGGAGCAAACAGG